This 19-nucleotide microRNA is filed under the name Lagothrix lagotricha (brown woolly monkey). Its description in RNAcentral is "lla-miR-198". Its record names the gene lla-miR-198. The record is from miRBase by way of RNAcentral. Lineage: Eukaryota; Metazoa; Chordata; Mammalia; Primates; Atelidae.
GGUCCAGAAGGGAGCUAGG